RNAcentral lists this long non-coding RNA (1813 nucleotides) under Homo sapiens (human). RNAcentral's name for it is "HSALNT0098823". The record is from RNAcentral. Lineage: Eukaryota; Metazoa; Chordata; Mammalia; Primates; Hominidae.
AUAUCCCUAUUUGAAAAUUCUCCAAAUCAUGUGAGUCCCUCUGGUGGUGACAGCAAAGCUGCUGGUUUCAUGGUGUUCAACAAAUGUGUUUUAUAUUUAGGUCUAUGGGCCGGGAGUGGUGGCUCAGGCCUGUAAUCCAAGCACUUUGGGAGACUGAGGUGGGCAGAUCACCAGAAGUCAGGAGUUCAAGACCAGCCUGGCCAACAUGGUGAAACCCCAUCUCUACUAAAAAUACAAAAUUUAGCCAGGCAUGGUGGUGGUCACCUGUCAUCCCAGCUACUCAGGGGGCUGAGGCUGGAGAAUCGCUUGAACCUGGGAGGCAGAGGUUGCAGUGAGCCGAGAUUGCACACAAUAAAUAAAUGAUUUAAUGCCCAUACAAUGGAGUGCCGUGCAGCUCUUAAAAAGAAUGCCACGAGGAUGGUCAACACAUGCUGUUCUCCUGGAUGAGGAUUAUUACCAUCAGCUCCAUUUUUCAGGUGAGAAAACUGAGACUUAGGGAGGCUACAUAAUUUUCCGAAGGUCACUCCCUACUGAAUGUAGGAGCAGGGAUCUGACAGCCACCUAAUGACACCCUAGAACAGCACUCUCUCCUCCGCUCUCCUCCAUGUCCCCCUCUGACUCCCGGGAGACCUCCCCAGCUUGCAGUCCCCAGGGCCCUGGUGUCCAUAACCCGAGGAAGGGGAGGGGCCCAUGAGAUCUUGGACUUUCUCACUCUCUGAAAAUGAGCAACUGAGAACGAGACUUGACUUUGCUUAGGAAGUAUAAACAAAUGCGACAUUUAUUGCCUAUCAAAUAUUAGAAGCAGUUCGUCUAUUUAACGUGUGUUAGUAUCGGUGUUCCUUUUUAUUCAAACUCUCCCUAUUGAGCUCAAGAAUCAAAGUCAGAUAACUUUGUCGAUAAAUCCCUUCCUUUCUACACCCUUGCUACUCACUGUCUCAAGACCCAAACUCACUGGGACAAGGCGCUGCCCCUCCUGAUUCAAGCCUGGUGUCUGCCUCUCACUAUGCAAAUCAGGAGCCAGACAGCCGCGGAGAGGGCGGCGGUGAGUGCACAGAGCACACGCAUGCGUUCGGCUUGCCCCCACGCCGCCCCCGUUAUCUCUGUGGGUGUGAAGGUGAGAAUUUUUCACUUUUCCAGUGAGUUACUGUACUGCUUUGACUCUCACAAGCGUGUCGACUUGAUGGAUUUUUGUAAAUAUAGCCGUCAGCGGAUGCCUCUUGUCCCCAUCUCGGGAACCAUAACCCAGAUUCCCAAAGGGGAGCUUGCCCACAUGGAUGGAAACUGAGGCCCUCAGAGAGGCCAUCGGCCUUGAUCCCUUGCUCCUAUUCAAAGAUCUCAACAUUAUUGCAGCCUUCCUUGGGGCAGCCGGACAUUCCCGUGUGGAGGAAGCGUCCACUCACGUGCCAUGGGAACUUUGUAGAUUUCACUGUGAUGCAAACAGCUGCCCGUGAGGCCCUCAGUGCCCAGGGCCCGUUGUUGGGUGCUUUUGAGGGUGGGAGGUGGAGGGGUUUCCAUUUUGCUUGGGGGAUCAGCAUCACCCAUUCUUUCUCCUUUUCCUCUGGGCUGGUGCUCAGAUGGUGAGAGCACUGUGCUGAUGAGGUGGGCCCUGGGGUGGAACCCAUGGCCCCCUCUGACUCCCAGGAGACCUGGCCAGCUGCAGCGGCCCCCGUGGACCAGCAGAGGGACAAGAGAGGAGCUGACGUGGAGGAGCCGAGGCCCACUGGGGGCUCCUGGAGAGUCCGUCCGCCUGUGGACAGCAGCUCAGGUGUUCAGCUGCUUCCAGAGAGGAAGCACCUCUUCCUAGACUGAGGCA